This 1472-nucleotide long non-coding RNA is filed under the name Naja naja (Indian cobra). Its description in RNAcentral is "lncRNA (ENSNNAG00000016843.1)". The record is from RNAcentral. Lineage: Eukaryota; Metazoa; Chordata; Lepidosauria; Squamata; Elapidae.
UCUGACUCUUCAUGCAAAUCUAACACUGGUGACGAAGGUGGGAUCCUUCCAGAAGAGAAGACAACGCGGAGAAGAAGCCAAGAGAGAUGGCUGUGCUGAACACACCCCCAGCCCCGUUCAAUCCAACGGCAGAAGACUGGGACUCGUAUGCAGAUCAUUUCCAAAUGUAUUUGGAGGGAAACGAUCUCGCCGACAUUUCUGAGAAGCGGAAGAGGGUGGUCUUUCUCACCCACUGCGGUCCGGCCGUUUUCAAGAUGACGUAGGCAUUGGCGGGAGCUGCAGACGUGAAGGUAAUUGACUGGCCCGAUUUAGAAAAAUUAUUAAGAGCCCAUUACGCGCCACAAGUAUCGUGCCUCAUUAAGAGACACGAAUUCUACUGUCGGGAUCAAGGGGAAAGUGAAAACGUUAAUGACUUCAUGGCAAGUUUAAGGGACAUUGGGGGUGCAUGUGAAUUUAUCAACUUAGAAGAGGCCAUGCGUGAUCAAUUUGUUCUAGGCCUAAAAGACAAGGUUUUGCAGAGCAAAUUAUUAAUGAAACCUAAGAUCACGCUUAAGGAGGCCAUAGAAGAAGCUUCUUCAGCGGAAGCUACCAAGUCCUCAGCAGCAGCCAUGGAGAAAAUUAACAAGGCCACGAGCCAUCCUGAUGUGGAAAAAUCCACAACAACCCAUUGCGAGCAAAUAGAUUCUGAUUCAGACUGUAGCGAGGUGGAGGAAGGAAUUUAUAGACUCAGAAUGGAGAAGAAAAGGAAAGACCUUGGAAGAAAGAGGCAAGACUUUUAUUGCAGAGGUUGUGGGGGGCCCCCCCUCACUGAAUGCAAGUUUUUUGAUACCAUCUGUCUCCGUUGUGAAAAAAGAGGUCACGUAGCAAGAGUCUGCAAAUCAUCCAGAACUCCACCAAGCAGAAAGAAGUUUCCUGACAAAGAUUUCAAGCCUAACAACUUCAGUGAGAAAAUGGGGUGCAACACAGAAGCAAAUGGGAAGAAUGGAACUCAUCAAACAGUCACCAUUGGUCAUUCUUCACCCUUAAGAAGCAGAAAAGUACAUGUGAAAGUACUCAUUGAACAAAGGCCUUGCCAAAUGGAAGUGGACUCAGGCUCAUAUUUAUCUAUGGUGUCAUGGGACACUAUUCACAGGCUACUUCCCAACAUUCAGAAGAAGCAAUUCCAAAAGCAAGCACUGACUCUUAAAGACUACCAAGGGAACAAGAUUCCAGUAGGUGGAACAAGAGAAUUCAUCGUGAAGUUCAAAGGCCACACCAAACGUUUGCCCCUGACCAUCAUGGACAAGGACCGCCCAAGCUUGCUGGGACUUGAAUGGUUCAAUCCACUAGGCAUCGAGGUGACUGGCAUCAAUCACGUGAGCAACACUGAAUGGGAGGAGGCCCUGAAGUCUGAGUUUCCAGAGGUCUUCAGCAAAGGAUUGGGCAAGUAUAUGGGGACCCCUAUCACUUUCAACCUAGAUUCCAAGGUGCCC